AAGGCUUGAGUUUUGACCUGUGGGCAUAACAAUCAUUUCGUUAUAAAUAGAUAGAGCUCUGGUUACGUGGCUUUUAUUCUGAGGCAAAACGCUGAGAACCACCCUAUGAGCAAAGCAGAGCAACAGUCCACCAUAUCCAAUCCACCUAACCACACCAAAGCAACGGAGAAAAGGCAGCACACCAACAAUCCACCAGUUCCCACCGGCAUAAUCAGAGCAUAGGAUCUAGAAAGAGCAAAUCGAACCCAGAUGUGGAAAAAUCGACGGAAAAACGAAGAAGGCUUCAAAUGCUCAGGUUGGAUUUGCAAGAGCGGGAGUUUCGUGCAGCUUAGCACCAUUUGAAGCCCCUACUAGAAUUCAUGGCAUUUAACUUCUCAAUGUUGUCGUUGGACCUUUGCUUUUGAGCAUUGUUUUUCAUACUAAUUCAUUAAUUCAGUUGUUUUUACUAUGUGCUACAUAAAGGCGUGAAAGUCAUACAACAAUUUCGCUGAAUCGAGACCCAAAUGGCGUAUAUAGGCGUGACUCUGUUCAAAUAACCCAUUAGCACGUUAAAGUUUAAGCAUCGAAAUAGCAAAGGCUAUAGCUAUUGCCCUCCAUACAAGUGGCAAGUUAACAAUUCAGUACACUUGGAGGCAGCCACGGAAUGCCGAGAGUGAAUUAUAAGGGAGGGGCAAGAGAUUAUUAUGUCAUUGGUGGUGCACAUAGGAAGCAGCAGUUGUAUUUGAAUCUAUCUGUUCGAUCUACUUUCCUGAUCCAUUUUCUGAUUCCGUAUUUGGUGAGUAUCGCUCCCAAAAAGCAUUUCUGUCCGCUCGAGCUGUUAUCUCAAGUUGAAAGCACAAGGUGGAAACAAAUCAACAAUGGAGGUCCAAGCAAGGGAAAAGUUUGGGAAAAACCUACUGUUUCUCCCCUAACCGAAUCUCAACAAAGUGUGUAUGGAGAAAGCUGUCAGUUGGCUCACGGUAUAACAGAGUUGCCCUGUGAUUAGGCAUCCACGCUACAAGACUGAGGUUACAGACGAAGAGAGAGAGCAGAGAUAUCAUGGGAUGGAAUCCAGAGUCAUUUAUGUUGUCCAAGAUAAAACAUAGCUGAAAUCAAACAUCAACACAAUUUUUAUCACUUUUUGGAUGAUAAUGGGAAAGCUGUAUGGCUUCUUUUUCGCACUAUCUUCGUAAAGAAUAUAAAUAUGGUGCCUCUUCUGGAGAAUUCAACUGCUUUUGAUUCACAAGAAGUUAGACUGUACCAGUCCUUGGACAGGGCCGUGCUUAUUCAUUUUGAAGACAUGUGCGUCAACACUCUAGAGGAGAAAAACCCUAAGGUUUUUGCUUCUACCAGAAACAUAUCAGGUGUGGAAACACAAGGCACAUCAGCAAGCGCAUCUUCAUAAGGAGGAGGAGGAGCUUGGAGGCAGAGAAUUAAUUGAUAGCCAGUGAAGCUGCUAGAAGGCAUGUUUUCAAAGGAUUUUUUUCCGAAUGAUACAGAUGACAUGACAAUUUCAAAUAUUCGCAUGAAGGAAUUUCACCAAGAGAGAUAUAUCAUGACAUGACAUAAAAACGAAGCAUCAUAUUGGUAGAGCUGUUGAUGUCGAGGUCUCAGAAUUCAGGCUUGUCAAAUCAAAGAUUUCUUGGGAAUAAUCAUACAUUAUAAGUUAAAUGAAAGACAAUUUUAAUGUUCC
Molecule: RNA transcript, 1672 nt
Organism: Lycium ferocissimum
Lineage: Eukaryota; Viridiplantae; Streptophyta; Magnoliopsida; Solanales; Solanaceae
Exons: 11
Source: RefSeq, a predicted model, not a curated record